GACGAACGCUGGCGGCGUGCCUAAUACAUGCAAGUCGAACGAGUGGCGGACGGGUGAGUAAUGCUUGGGAAUCUGGCUUAUGGAGGGGGAUAACGACGGGAAACUGUCGCUAAUACCGCGUACCAUAGGAUGAGCCCAAGUGGGAUUAGGUAGUUGGUGGGGUAAUGGCCUAACAAGCCGACGAUCUCUAGCUGGUUUGAGAGGAUGACCAGCCACACCGGGACUGAGACACGGCCCGGACUCCUACGGGAGGCAGCAGUGGGGAAUAUUGCGCAAUGGGGGCAACCUGACGCAGCCAUGCCGCGUGAAUGAAGAAGGUCUUCGGAUUGUAAAGCACUUUAAGUUGGGAGGCGUUACCAACAGAAUAAGCACCGGCUAACUUCGUGCCAGCAGCCGCGGUAAUUC
Molecule: ribosomal RNA, 405 nt
Filed under: uncultured bacterium
Lineage: Bacteria
Description: partial 16S ribosomal RNA
Rfam family: Bacterial small subunit ribosomal RNA
Source: RNAcentral